RNAcentral lists this ribosomal RNA (253 nucleotides) under uncultured bacterium. Its description in RNAcentral is "partial 16S ribosomal RNA". It matches the Rfam family "Bacterial small subunit ribosomal RNA", at positions 524 to 776 of the family's 1533-position model. The record is from RNAcentral.
UACGUAGGGGGCGAGCGUUGUCCGGAUUCAUUGGGCGUAAAGCGCUCGCAGGCGGCCGGCCGCGUCGCGCGUGAAGGCCCCCGGCUCAACCGGGGGUGGUCGCGCGAUACGGGUCGGCUGGAGGUAGGUAGGGGGACGCGGAAUUCCCGGUGUAGUGGUGGAAUGCGUAGAGAUCGGGAGGAACACCGGCGGCGAAGGCGGCGUCCUGGACCUGGCCUGACGCUCAGGAGCGAAAGCGUGGGGAGCGAUCCGG